UUCUACCCUUGCCUUCUUCGCUGACCCAGAAGUUGUGGUGUCUUUCCUCUUGUGGGCCUUGAGACUCUUAGCUAACGUCCGAGCCGUGUUUGCGUCCAUAUCUGCAAUGAAAGAAGAUCGACACAGCUUAGAAAUAGAGUCACAAAAAAAGAGGGAAGUGAAAGUCGAAGCCCGAUGUGAAAAGCUUCCUGAUAUAAGCAGAAGCAGCCAGGAGGAGGGACGCUAGCCCGGUCAGUCAACCCAAGAAGCUCCAGCUCGUACUCCAGAGAAACUCCGUACUGAAUCAUAAUCAGUGAGAGUUCCUCCGGAGUCAGAGAGCUGGAGAUGGUGUCUGGUACAAAG
Molecule: long non-coding RNA, 342 nt
Filed under: Elaeis guineensis (African oil palm)
Lineage: Eukaryota; Viridiplantae; Streptophyta; Magnoliopsida; Arecales; Arecaceae
Description: long non-coding RNA (EGUI_LNC053836)
Source: RNAcentral